GUCAAAUCGCGAAUUUGGACUUCAUACGAAUCAAUGCAUGGAGGAAUUAGGCGGAACUAACGAAACUGAAAGUGUUUGGCGGAAGCAAUUGGCUGACGGAGCUUGCCGAGGAGAUACGGAACUUGCCGAGGAGAUACGGGAAGUGCCGAGGAGAUACGGGAAGUGCCGAGUGAAUGCGGAAAGAAAAAAAACUCACAUGGCAAGUGCAUGCAUGCAGACGCGCUGUGAAAGCUGAAGAACGCGAUCGCUGCAUUAAUAAACUUUCACGAUUGCAUGCAGAAAGUUUUAAGCUGCAGUGUGUAAGGAAGGGAAGGCACAUCAGCACUUGGUCAUCUCAGGGACACUGAUGGUAUGAGAAUUGACUAUUUCUAAUUACAAGGACUGCCACAUGCAUUGCCUUAUUCAUAAUAUAUGUGCAAUAUAAAAGACAGCUACUAUUUUGUUGCACUGUAGUUCAUUAUUUUGUGCAUUAUAAUACUUUGUGCACAAUAUUAAGUUAAUCAUGCUGUUCAUUUAUGUAAAUAGUUUAUGUAAAGUGAAAUGCUUGCAUUAAUAUUAAGAAGUAUUAUUUUAAUAUGCAAAUUAAUAAUGCUGAGACAAAAUUUGUGAAGGAACUGUCUUUAUUUAUAUUACAUUGUGUUUGUUUAAGUCAGUAUUGCGAAUAAUGUAUAUUUUAUAUAUUUUGUUCCUUUUCUAAGGUUAUCAACCUAUUGCUAUCGCUGCUACUGGUAUCGCUACUACUGUUCAAGCGCUACAGUAUUGUAUUAUUGGGCAAACUGAAAGUUAAAAUACAAAAGCUGAAAAGCCUUGGAGUUGUUCCCUGUGUCCCCUGUUAUUGGCUGAAGCUCUUUCGAGUUAGAAGCAGAUACUGGUGUGUGUAACCCAUAAGAACUCGACAGUUGAUAACCAAGAGUGUAGCAGCUGGACAUAAAGAUCAACGGCUUUGUGACGUCCAAAGACAAAGUUCUGCUGACACCAAGUGAAAGAAAAAUUCAAGGAAAAUGGCUGAGGAAGCAUUAGGAAAAUCAGUUAAACAGCUAAAAAAGGAAAGAACCACUGCAAAAAGUAGCUUUACCAAACAAGCUAACUUUCUCUGUAGAGAAGCACACCGACUUAUAGAAUCAGAGCUAAAAGAAGAAUUUAAAAAGCUUUCUUCUGGAGCAAGAAAAGUGUUUGAAACUAAUGAUGACUAUAAAGCUGGAUUAAUAGCAGAGAUUGAAGCUACAGAAGAUGGUGCAGAGGUACAACUUUCAGCACAGCAAGAAGCUGACUUUAAGAAAGCUGUGGAAGAAUGUAAUGCAAAGUUUGACGAAGUAACUGAGAUAGUACAAGAUAAUCUCUGGCAAAGAUAUGGACAAAGUGAUGUGUUAACCACAAUUUCAGCAGCUGAAAAAGCCUGCGAUCGCACAGCCGCUAUGCCUGUUGAUGGCACUGGAUAUGAAAGUUAUGAAGUGCAACUGGAGCUCUCAAUGAGACUGGUGAAAGAGGCAACUGUAACUUUGCUAAAAUGGGAAAGAUGGAUUCCAGCACCUGAGAGAAAGGAUCUUGAAAGUCAUGUUCGCAAACUGAAAGAGUGUAGCAAUGAGCUUGAAUCAAGAAAAGCUGAAUUCGCUUGGGCCCGAAGAGCUGCUGAAGAUACACAAGCAUUAGACACGAGUAUGACAAACAAUCCAAACAUAAUGGUACCUGCAGGACAGAUCAUACCAGUGGUAAAAAUUAAACCAACAAGUCUACCUAAAUUCACUGGUAAUAAGAGAGAUUACUAUCGUUGGAAGAGAGACUGGGAAAAUCUCCAGAAGCAAGGUGAGCCCACUGGGUCUGUUGAAGUGAAAAAGAUUCAGUUAGUGGAUAGCGUGGAUGACAGAAUCGCAAAAGAGCUCAGAUUGUCUUCCUACAACACUGCUGAUGACAUAUUCAGGGUGUUAGACAACCGAUACGGUAACAAAAUUACAAUUGCCAUGGAAAUUGUAGAGGAACUAGAGAAAAUGCCAGCUUUGAGAGGAAACCAACCAAGAAGGGUAAUAGAAUUAAUCCAAAUGGUGGAAAAAGCCUUGGCUGAUCUCACAGAUCUUGGAAACGUUGGAGCAAUGAAGAAUCCUCUUGUGAUAAAAUCCAUCGAAAGCAAGUUACCUGAACUCUUAAAAAGAGAAUGGCUCGUAUAUAUGACAGAUCCUGCAAAUAACAUCACACCAGACAAACACUUUGAUGAGCUGUUACAAUUCCUUCAGAAACAGGAAGAUGUGCUUGAAAGGCUGGAACAACUUAGGAUCUCAGAAAGAGUGGAAAAGCCAGAAAGAAAAUUUGAAAAGAAUUACGCUUUUACUAGAACGACAAAGAAAGACUCCACAGAAGCUGGUUGCAUCGUGUGUGGGGCAGAGAAACAUAGAGACAGGAUUUUCUUCUGCAGAAAAUUUAAAGACUUGAAGCUGACAGAGAAGAAAUCUAUCAUCAGGAAACUAGGAGCAUGCAAAAAGUGCUUGGGAGUUCAUGAGGAUGACAGCAGGUGCAGUGAUAACUACCUUUGCAGAAACAAAGAUUGCAAAAAAGGAGACUUCUCAGACCACCAUUACUUCCUCUGUCCAAAAUGGGACCUCAAGAACCUGAAUGAAGGGAAAACCAUCAGUAAAGAUAGUAGAAAAGGAAGUGGAUUGACUGCAGAGCAGGAACAUUUCCUGGCUGAACUUUCUCCAGAAUUGGCUGAGAAGUGCAAAAAAGCAUUCACCAACAAAGUUAAGAUGAUAAACUGCUCAGGAAAUGACCAGCAGGGAUUGGUCAGUAAUAGUGGAUUAAAGGAGCUUCCUGUUAUCAUGAUGCUGAUGGAAGUAACCACGAAUGCAGGACAGAAGAUUGGCGCUUUGAUAGAUCUGGCUUCUGAUACAAACUAUAUCACCCAUGAAGCUGCUGAAAGACUUAAGCUGAGAGGUGAAAAAAUCACUCUAGUGGUUCAUGGAGUUGGCAAGAUGGCGAUCAGAGUAAGCACAAAUAGAUACCUUCUCAGGAUUAGAGUCAAAACUCCUGAGGGGACAGUGAAGGCUCAUCAGUUGAUCUGCUAUGGUUUGGAAGAAAUUGCCAAAGUUCAUAGAAUCGUAAGUCAAGAGAAACUUAGAGAAUUCUUUCCAGAGGUGGAAUUAGAAGAACUGAAAAGACCAGGAAAAAUAGAUCUCCUCAUCAGUCACCGAGAGGGCAGACUCGCUCCACAAAGAGUGAAGAUUGUUGGGGAUCUUGUCCUGUGGGACAGCCCGCUGGGGAAAACAGUGGCUGGAGCACACCCUGAUUUGUUUGAAGUGGUGGAUAUGGCUGCAUACGAGUCCAAAACACAUUUUGCUCGGUCCAUGAGAACAGCUGCAGCCAGGUAUGAAGAAAUCAUAGAAAAAGCAGAAAGACCAGCAAUUACUGAUAUUGUCAAAGAAGGAAAGAGCCCAAGAAGUUCACUAGCAAGCAACAGAGAGUUUAUUGACUGGUGGAAAUGGGAUAGUAUUGGCACAGCUUGUGAGCCAAAAUGUGGAGGAUGUCGCUGUGGAAACUGUCAGCCUGGAGGGAAGGAGAUGACCCUAGCAAAAGAAAGAGAACUAGAGAUUAUAAGAGAGGGUCUCACAUAUGUUGAAAUGGAUACCCACAGCACAGCUCCACACUGGGAUACAAAGUAUCCAUGGAUUCAGGACCCAGCUACACUUCCUUACAACAGAAGUGGAGUAGAAGCUGCUUUCCUCAGAACAGAAAAGCAACUGAAAAAGGUACCAGAAUGGCAGGACAUUUAUGCAGCUCAAGUCCAUGACAUGGUGAAAAGGGGUGCAGCAACAAAGCUUACUAAACAAGUAAUUGAGGAAUGGAAGGGACCUGUUUGGUAUGUUAGUCACCUGGUAGCACCAAAUCCGCAUUCAACUACCACUCCAGUGCGACUUGUCUGGAACAGUAGUCAGAAAUUCAAAGGGCUAAGCAUGAAUGAUCUUCUGUUAAAAGGACCAGAUGUACUCAACCCAAUCAGAGCUGUCUUGCUAAGAUUCAGGAAGGGAGUAUUUGCUGCUCUUGGAGACAUAAAAAAGAUGUACAAUUCAGUGUGGCUGGAAGAGCGUGAGGUUCAUCUUCACAGAUUUCUCUGGAGAGACACUCAAGACGAAGAAAUAAGUGAGUACGCUAUCACUAGAGUUAACAUUGGAGAUCGUCCUGCUGGAUGCAUUGCACAGUUAGCUAUGCGUGAGACAGCUAGGCUGGCAAAGUUUGCUCAUUUAAAAGAAGAGUGCAGAGUCCUUGAGGAGGACAGUUAUGUGGAUGACAUCCUUACAUCCCAUAAUAGCCAGGAGAGACUGAAAGAGAUAACAAAUGGGCUAGAGGAGAUUCUAGCAGCUGGCGGAUUUGCACUGAAACCAUGGGUUCGGUCGGAGCAAAGUGGGAGGAAUGAAGUGGUUGAUCCAAGUCAAGUUCCAAAAGAAUCAGUCUCUCAAUCUAAAACAAUCAUACUACCAAACCAGCUACGAGAUGAAGACAACAAGGCUUUGGGCAAAGGGUACUUGGUAGAGGAGGAUAAGCUGUACAUCAUGGCUUCCAUUAAUUUCUCAGUAAGAAAGAAGAAAAUGAGAACGGGUCAGAACCUCUUAAAAAGUGAGGUGAGAUUGAGAACACCAAACCCUUUGACCAGAAGGCACCUGUUAAGCCAAGUUGCUGGCCUCUAUGACCCAGUUGGUCUUGUCACUCCUGCCAAACAGAAGGGUGCAAUUCUUGUCAGGAAAGCUUUCCAAGAGAUAGGAAAGGGGAGUCUAACCCGUGAGACAUGGGACAUGCCACUUUCUGAAAACCUCAGGGAAGAAGCUAUCAGAUUAUUUGAGGAAUAUGUGCAGCUUAAUCAGGUCAAGUUCCACAGAAGUCUUACACCUCCUGGCUGGAAAGGAAAACCCUGGGGAAUCACUUUCUCAGAUGGUAGUGAUAAAACAUAUGGAGCUGUAUUGUACCUAAGAUGGAAUACAGACCAGGGGAUAGACGUCAGACUAGUUGAAUCUAAAGCAAAACUAACACCACUAGACCAGAAAGGAGAUGCUGUGAAGGCUGAAAUCUGCGGUGCAGUUUUCGCUGCACGACUCAGGAAGUACUUUGAAAAGCAUGGGCGGAUGGAAGUGGAGCGCUGGUUUCACCUGGUAGACAGUCAAACGGUGCUGGGGGCCAUUCAACGUGAUAGCUAUGGCUACCAAACUUUCUUUGCAAAUAGAGUUGGAGAAAUCCAAAAGUCUGGAUCAGUAAGUGACUGGUGGUGGAUACCAGGGGAUGUCAAUAUCGCUGACAUCAUUACUAGAGGAGGCACUCCUGAAGAUCUUGCUGAAAAGUCCGAAUGGCAGGAGGGACCACAAUUCCUCAGAUAUUCAGUAGAGGAGUGGCCAAAGAAAUCAGCUGCUGAGGUUGCUGCUGAUGCCAAGGAGAAUGUUAACAAACUUCAACGGAAAACAUUCUCAGCAGUUCUGACAAGAUCUCAAACAAAGAGGGACCUGGCAGAAGCAGGUAAAGGAAUUCCUGAAGUUUCAAUCCUUGGUGAUUCAAUCAAUGUUGUUUCUGACUCUGGUGAAAAUGGAAAAAGACCAAACUUACCAAAAGGAACACCUCGUGACUUAAUUAUUAAGAAACUAGUGGAUGAGGAAAAAUACAGCAAUUUAACCAAGCUAGUCAGAGUCAUCGGCUGGGUUUGGCGUGCUGUAAAGAAGUGGCUAGGAUUCAGGGAUCAGGACUCAAAUGAGAGAAAAAGAAAAGAAGUGUUGCAAAACAAGAUCAAACAAACCAUGCUGACUGUGAAAGAGGAAGAGUAUAUUCUGAAAGAACUCUUUCUAGCUGCUCAACAGGGUGUGACUUUUCCCGACACUACACUUAGCAGACUGGCUGUGUAUAGAGAAAAUUCAGGACUCUUGGUUUGUGGUGGAAGAAUACAGAUCUUUAAUGAAGAAAAGAUUGCAGUCCCAAUAUUACCUUGUAGUGCAUGGGUGUCCAUGUUAUUAGCCCGAGAAGCCCACAGUGCAAAUCAUGAGGAGGUAGCAGGGACACUUCUAAGAAUGAGGAAAAAAGCGUGGGUGAUUAAAGGUCGGAGACUAGCCAAGAAAGUUGUAGACAGCUGUGUGAUCUGCAGGAAGGCAAGAGCAAAGAGAUGUGAGCAAAUCAUGGCAGACCUUCCUCCUGAAAGGACAGAACCAGCAGCACCCUUUGAAUACACAACUUUAGACCUGUUUGGACCAUACAUAGUAAAGGAUGAAGUGAGGAAGCGAGUACAUCUCAAAGUUUGGGGAAUCGUUUACUGCUGUAUGGCAUCUAGAGCGAUACACACUGACAUUGUGAGUGACCAAUCUGCUGAAGGGUUUAUGCUAGCCUACCAAAGAUUCACGGCUUUGAGGGGUCAUCCAAGAAAAUUAUGGUCCGACCCCGGCUCAAAUUUUAUCGGAGUUAAACCUGCUCUCACAGAACUUUACAAGUUCCUGGACAAGUUAGAAACAUCUGAGCUAGAGGCAGAAGCUACUAAACACGGAACUGAAUGGGUUUGGAAGAUCCAUCCUGCAAGUUCUCCUCACAGGAACGGAGCAGCAGAGGCCGCUGUUCGCAUAGUAAAGCGAGCCCUUCACAACUUGGGAGGUGAUGGUGUUUUCACUUGGAGCGAAUUUCAAACAUUCCUUUAUAUGGCAGCUAACCUGGCUAAUGAGAGGCCUAUUGAUGCAAGGACGCAGAGCAGAGAGGAUUGUGUAGAAUAUGUCAAUCCCAACUCUCUCCUGUUAGGAAGAUCUGGACCAAAGGGAGACCCAGGUGACUUUGAUUUUGUUGGCUAUCCUUAUAAAAGAUUAAAAGUCAUCCAAGGAGAAGUUAACAAAUUCUGGAGGAAAUGGAGUCAGUUAGCAGGGCCAAACUUGUUUGUAAGAAACAAAUGGCACACCAAGGAAAGAAAUGUUGCUGUUGGAGAUGUCGUCUGGUUAGCAGACCAAAAUGCACUGAGGAGUCAGUACAAGUUGGCCAGAGUCAUCCAAGUCAAUGCUGAUGACAAAGGUAUUGUCAGAGAUGUGAAUGUUAAAGUCUUCACAAGCUACCCAGUCUCAAACGUAAAGCCUGCUAAAGCCAAAGUCACAACCAAAAAGUUGACUGACAGAAUCCCUGCAACUAUCCUCCACAGAGACGUAAGACGUUUAGUUGUCUUAAUACCUAUAGAGGAACAGCACUAAACACGCACUAAAUUCUGUGAACAACUUGGGUUCAAAGAACCAGUAGUUCAAGUGGGAGGUGUAAAGUCAAAUCGCGAAUUUGGACUUCAUACGAAUCAAUGCAUGGAGGAAUUAGGCGGAACUAACGAAACUGAAAGUGUUUGGCGGAAGCAGUUGGCUGACGGAGCUUGCCGAGGAGAUACGGAACUUGCCGAGGAGAUACGGGAAGUGCCGAGGAGAUACGGGAAGUGCCGAGUGAAUGCGGAAAGAAAAAAAACUCACAUGGCAAGUGCAUGCAUGCAGACGCGCUGUGAAAGCUGAAGAACGCGAUCGCUGCAUUAAUAAACUUUCACGAUUGCAUGCAGAAAGUUUUAAGCUGCAGUGUGUAAGGAAGGGAAGGCACAUCAGCACUUGGUCAUCUCAGGGACACUGAUGGUUAUCAACCUAUUGCUAUCGCUGCUACUGGUAUCGCUACUACUGUUCAAGCGCUACAGUAUUGUAUUAUUGGGCAAACUGAAAGUUAAAAUACAAAAGCUGAAAAGCC
Non-coding RNA from Danio rerio (zebrafish), 7701 nucleotides. NCBI's taxonomy places the organism in Eukaryota, Metazoa, Chordata, Actinopteri, Cypriniformes, Danionidae. The record is from RefSeq and is a predicted model, not a curated record.